Suricata suricatta (meerkat) is the source of this 1003-nucleotide long non-coding RNA. RefSeq lists it as uncharacterized. NCBI's taxonomy places the organism in Eukaryota, Metazoa, Chordata, Mammalia, Carnivora, Herpestidae. The transcript is spliced from 2 exons. The record is from RefSeq and is a predicted model, not a curated record.
UAAUUACACAGUUGUAUUUAUAUUAAGUACUGUUUAAUUACAUAAUUUGGUCUUGCAACUGCUUAGUAAAUGAGAGGUUAAGACUUAAAAGUUACUACACAACUGAUAGAAUAUCUUAGUCUAUAGGUCAUUGGAAUAAAUAGAUGCAUUAGAAUAAUUUAAGGUGUCAUGAAGGAAUUAUAUUUCUGACUUAUGGUGUGAGUUUCACUUUUGUAGAGAGUAAAACCAGCUGGCAUUUAAGUCAUGCACUGAUUUGUGUAAAAAAUCCUUAAGCUAUUUUAAGCAAUGGAAAGGAAGGGGGCAUCGUUGUUGGGCUGUGUUGAGGGCAUCAGUUGGCCUUAAUCCAGCUGUGCUGCAGAGAGUGCAGUUUUCAGGUCACUGAUAGAGCAGGAAACGAACAAACAAAACCUAGAAAUUUCUACAUGAGAAGUACUUGUGUGUGUUAGCUCUUUUAUUUAUGUUAUAGCCCAAAUACUGACUUUCCUAACAGUUAACUAAGUUGGCAGUUAUUCACCAUAAAACCUCUAACACAGCAUUAAUCGGACAAAAGCUUCAGAAGUCAUAAAAAAAAAAUCAGACAUGCACAAAAUUGUGAACACGUCAUCAAAGAGUUCAGAUAGCAAGUUAAAAACUCCUGCUUUAGAUUUGAAGAGUGGAACACUGUGCUCAGAAUAUUGAUUAAUUAACUAAUUCACAGCUUAUUAGGAAGUUAUAAGAAGUAUUGUUUAUAAUUAUCUUAUUUCCAAAAUAGAAAAGUCAUUUGCAAAUAUGGUCUAUAUGCCAUGAAAUAAGAUGAAAAAUAAAAAUUGAGAAGGUCAUCUAUAGGGAAAACAGAGAUGGAAAAAAGCAAAGUGAAGCAGGUCUACAGGGAGAAAAGUUGUAAUUAAAAGAAGAUGUUGAUGUGAUGAAAAAUGAGAUUCUUGGUACUGUGUUUAUUACAUAUAGCUCGUACUUCAUAGAAGCUGUUAUUUUAUUGUUUUGAAUAAAUUUACGUUUCAGUAUA